This 253-nucleotide ribosomal RNA is filed under the name uncultured bacterium. RNAcentral's name for it is "partial 16S ribosomal RNA". It matches the Rfam family "Bacterial small subunit ribosomal RNA", at positions 524 to 776 of the family's 1533-position model. The record is from RNAcentral.
UACGUAGGGGGCAAGCGUUGUUCGGAAUUACUGGGCGUAAAGGGCGCGUAGGCGGCAUGGCAAGUCAGGAGUGAAAGGCCUGGGCUCAACCGAGGAACUGCUUUUGAUACUGCCAAGCUAGAGUGCGGAAGGGGCAACUGGAAUUCCCAGUGUAGCGGUGAAAUGCGUAGAUAUUGGGGAGAACACCUGAGGCGAAGGCGGGUUGCUGGGCCGACACUGACGCUGAGGCGCGAAAGCCAGGGGAGCAAACGGG